UAUUUCUUUAGACUUUAUUUCUUAACAUUAUGUAGUAUCAGGUAUGUCUGGUUGUUUAGAUUAUCAGUCUUUCUUAAUUUACAUUUCUUGUGUUCUUCAUUAUAGGCAAUCAAGAUGAAAAGCUCCCUGAACCGAAAAAAAGUAAAUUCUCACAAAACAGCCUUGUAAAUUUGGAAUAAGAUUUGCAAAAUCACUAGAACAUCAUGAUCAGAAGAGCACA
Non-coding RNA from Vicugna pacos (alpaca), 220 nucleotides. NCBI's taxonomy places the organism in Eukaryota, Metazoa, Chordata, Mammalia, Artiodactyla, Camelidae. The record is from RefSeq and is a predicted model, not a curated record.